CCUACGGGUGGCAGCAGUGGGGGAUAUUGCACAAUGGGGGAAACCCUGAUGCAGCGACGCCGCGUGGGUGAAGAAGUAUUUCGGUAUGUAAAGCCCUAUCAGCAGGGAAGAAAGAAGACGGUACCUGACUAAGAAGCCCCGGCUAACUACGUGCCAGCAGCCGCGGUAAUACGUAGGGGGCGAGCGUUAUCCGGAUUCACUGGGUGUAAAGGGAGCGUAGACGGCCGUGCAAGCCAGGAGUGAAAGCCCGGGGCCCAACCCCGGGACUGCUCUUGGAACUGUGCGGCUGGAGUGCGGGAGGGGCAGGCGGAAGUCCUGGUGUAGCGGUGAAAUGCGUAGAUAUCAGGAGGAACACCGGCGGCGAAGGCGGCCUGCUGGACCGCGACUGACGUUGAGGCUCGAAAGCGUGGGGAGCGAACAGGAUUAGAUACCCGGGUAGUC
This 441-nucleotide ribosomal RNA is filed under the name uncultured bacterium. RNAcentral's name for it is "partial 16S ribosomal RNA". It matches the Rfam family "Bacterial small subunit ribosomal RNA", at positions 338 to 795 of the family's 1533-position model. The record is from RNAcentral.